RNAcentral lists this ribosomal RNA (319 nucleotides) under uncultured Chloroflexota bacterium. RNAcentral describes it as "bacterial SSU rRNA". It matches the Rfam family "Bacterial small subunit ribosomal RNA", at positions 28 to 351 of the family's 1533-position model. The record is from RNAcentral. Lineage: Bacteria; Bacillati; Chloroflexota.
GAUAAACGCUUGCGGUGUGCCUAAUACAUGCAAGUCGAACGGAGAAUUAGCAAUAGUUCUUAGUGGCGAAUGGGUGAGUAACGCGUUGGUGACCUGCCCCGAAGUGAGGAAUAACAGUUCGAAAGGACUGCUAAUACCACAUGUGGUCAGCGGGAUUAGAAACCGCUGUCUAAAGGAGUAAUCCGCUUUGGGAGGGGCCUGCGUCCCAUCAGCUAGUUGGUAGAGUAAUAGCCUACCAAGGCGACGACGGGUAGGGGGCCUGAGAGGGUGGCCCCCCACAUUGGCACUGAAACACGGGCCAAACACCUACGGGUGGCUG